CCCUUAGAUGUUCUGGGCCGCACGCGCGCUACAAUGGCAGACUCAGCGAGUUACCUCUGUCGAAAGGCACAGGGAAUCUUUACAGUAACUGCCGUGAUGGGGAUAGACCCUUGUAAUUUUUGGUCUUCAACGAGGAAUUCCUAGUAAACGCAAGUCAUUAACUUGCAUUGAUUACGUCCCUGCCCUUUGUACACACCGCCCGUCGCACCUACCGAUUGAAUGGUCCGGUGAAGUCCUCGGACCCAGUUGAACCUCGAGUUGAACAGGGAAAGUUGACUAAAUCUUACCAUUUAGAGGAAGGUGAAGUCGUAACA
Molecule: ribosomal RNA, 314 nt
Filed under: uncultured eukaryote
Lineage: Eukaryota
Description: partial 18S ribosomal RNA
Rfam family: Eukaryotic small subunit ribosomal RNA
Source: RNAcentral